CCCUUAGAUGUUCUGGGCCGCACGCGUGCUACACUGAGUGGAUCAGCGGGUCAGGUUGCGCGAAAGUGUUUCCUAAUCUUUAAAUCCGCUCGUGAUGGGGAUUGACGGUUGCAAUUUUCCGUCAUGAACGAGGAAUACCUUGUAAGCGCGGGUCAUCAUCCCGCGCUGAAUACGUCCCUGCCCUUUGUACACACCGCCCGUCGCGCCUACCGAUUGAGUGGUCCGGUGAGGCUUUGGGAUCUGAGCGGAAAGAGCGUUUCGCUGUUUCUGCCCGGAAAACUCAGUCGAACCUUAUCAUUUAGAGGAAGGAGAAGUCGUAACA
Molecule: ribosomal RNA, 322 nt
Filed under: uncultured eukaryote
Lineage: Eukaryota
Description: partial 18S ribosomal RNA
Rfam family: Eukaryotic small subunit ribosomal RNA
Source: RNAcentral